CGUGUAGGCGGCUAGGUAGGUCCGUUGUGAAAACUCGAGGCUCAACCUCGAGACGUCGAUGGAAACCAUCUAGCUAGAGUCCGGAAGAGGAGAGUGGAAUUCCUGGUGUAGCGGUGAAAUGCGCAGAUAUCAGGAAGAACACCCGUGGCGAAGGCGGCUCUCUGGUACGUGACUGACGCUGAGACGCGAAAGCGUGGGAGCAAACA
This 206-nucleotide ribosomal RNA is filed under the name uncultured bacterium. Its description in RNAcentral is "partial 16S ribosomal RNA". It matches the Rfam family "Bacterial small subunit ribosomal RNA", at positions 568 to 774 of the family's 1533-position model. The record is from RNAcentral.